UAAACGUUAUCUGAAUUUCUAGGAGCUUAAACAGCAUUGAAAAGAUCCACUCGUGUGACAUUCAUCCUCUGCAGAGAUGAGAAAAAGAUUUCACCAACUCCAUUGGGAGCCAUGAGAUAUGGAGGCCUUCUGAUGUGCAGCAAAGAGAAAAUUAAACAGCCCACAAGAUGAAAUAGCACGCUUCUCGUCAAGAGAAAACCACCAUGUCUUCUGCUAGUUAACACAUGUUGGCUUGCAGGGAUGGGGGUGCAGAAAUCAGACACCUUUCUUGUUGCUCUGAUUCAAGCAUUGGGCUCAGUUUGACUUUUCAACUUG
Cygnus atratus (black swan) is the source of this 315-nucleotide long non-coding RNA. RefSeq lists it as uncharacterized. The record is from RefSeq and is a predicted model, not a curated record. The transcript has 3 exons. NCBI's taxonomy places the organism in Eukaryota, Metazoa, Chordata, Aves, Anseriformes, Anatidae.